UCCUUACAAUAUUUCUUCACCUGAAUCGACAGCCACCAUCAUACCAGCAAUUGAAUUCCCUGAAUCGUUUCUACCUUUACCAGAUUCUUCAACUCAAUCGUCUCAAAUUUAAGGCCAAUUGAAUGUCCAUUGAAUUCCCAUCAGUUGUGAAUGUCGAUUGAAUUUCCAUUGAGGCCAUGCAUUUAUCGAUUCAUGAAUAUGCGAUUAAUGGUACCACUCCUUCUAUGUAUUAGUUAAAGAGGGAGAGAGAGUGAAGACUGGAGAAUACGGAGAGAGGGGAGCAGGCCAAGGCCCUCCGGCAACGGUGAUAUCGAUGACAACUACGAUAGGUUUGAACUCAAAUGGAGGGUGUAGUUCAGUUGGAAUUUGGAUAUGAUGAAGAUGAGUUUAGAAUUUAUUAUGGAGAUGAGGAUGAGUUGGAAGAAAUGUCGAUUGUUGGGGAUAUGGAUGACGGCGGUGGUUUGGGUUUCUGGUAGCAACAGCGAAGACGAAGAGCGGGGUGGUGGUGAUGUCUACGGUGAUGAUGAUGAUGGUUUUGUUUGACAUAGAGAAUGAUGGUGGUGGUUGUGAUUAAUGGUGAUGAAGACAGUGUCAGAUGGUUCCAGUCAUGGUGGAUGUCUGCGGCGAAGACACUCUCCGCCUAAACCGAAGAACAAGCUAAAAGACAAAAACUUCAACACCCGCAAAAACUCGGGAAAGUGGAACCGAGUAAACUUAUGAGUGACACGACGGUCGACAGGUUUUUAAGGUAUCAUGUACAAGGAUUCAAGAAGCCUUUUGUUGAGAAGUUUCCAGCAUGUUCCGUUUCAGCAAGAAGGCAUAUUGAUUCAUGUAGGCAUAUUGAUUCAUGUACUACGAUAUAAGAUGUUCAGGGGAUGAACUGGAUGAGUUUUGGAAAAGCUGCACAUGAUUUGGUCACGCGUAUGUAGAAAAUAGACGGUGAUAACUAUCCUGAGACAUUGCAUCAGAUGUACAUCAUCAAUGCUGGUACAAAAAAAGGUUCUAGGAAACAGAUAUCAGAAUACAUUGUUAGAAGCUAUUGACGCGAGGAUCGUGGAUUUGUUUCCAACUUCCAGAUUUUCUUGGUGGAACGUGUUCUUGCCCGAAUGAAGGUGGAUGUCUUAGAUCAGAUAAGGAAUGAUUUGGAAUUGAUGAAGAUAGAACUUGCCCGGAAGUAUAAUGAACUAGACCUCUUUAUGAAUGAAGAACAUCCUCAGUUUCAUUUGGUCAAGAUGGAGGUUGCAAAGUCCCGAAACAAACAACUUGUUCAGCUAUUUGGAUCAGGAGUUGGCAUUCACCAUGCAGGGAUGUUGCGUGCUGACAGAGGGUUAACUGAACGCCUUUUUCUGAUGGAUUGUUGAAGGUCUUAGUUUGUACAACAACUUUGGCAUGGGGAGUCAAUCUACCUGCACGCACUGUUGUGAUUAAGGGGACUCAGCUGUACGAUCUAAAGGCUGGUGGAUGGCGAGAUCUGGGCAUGCUGGAUGUCAUGCAGAUUUUUAGACGUACUGGUAGACCUCGGUUUGAUAAAAGUGGCGAAGGCAUUAUAAUUACAUCUCAUGAUAAGUUAGCUUACUAUCUGCGACUGUUGACAAGUCAACUUCCCAUUGAAAGUCAGUUCAUUAGCUCCUUGAAAGAUAACCUAAAUGCCGAGGUAACACCCCAUAAUGUGAAAGAAGCUUGUGCAUGGCUCGGAUACACGUACCUUUUCAUAAGGAUGAAAAUGAAUCCUUUGGCAUAUGGUAUUGGAUGGGAUGAGAUUGAUUAUGGAGGACGAUCUGAUUCAGGUCGAUGACUUUCACGUAGAGCUUCAUAGGGCACCGCCGGGGGGUCAGUCGGUUCAGCAGGGUCCACGACGGAGACGGCGGCCGCCUCUGGAUACGCUGCAGGGGCAUCCGUAUCUAGAGUUUCCCGACGGCACCGAUGCCGCCCGUCAUUGCCUGAAGCUUAGGAGGAUGCACAUUGGAUCGCAUGCAGCGAUCAACUUGAUGCGAUAGAUGGGAUUGCUGAGACGGCUAGAGUGCGUCGAUUUAUACCUGUCGAUUCGCCGUGGCAUCGUCUUUUUGAUUUGGCGCACACGCCGACCUACAGGGAGCUGCUGGUCGAGUUCCUUUCGUCAUUCACAUUUCACGCUCCUGGGGUCCAGUGCCGCUUCCGCACCCAGGUGCUCCCCCUCCGCCUGAGGUUUCUUUCAGGCUCGCUGGCGUUAUGCGUUCGAUGACGCUAGCAAAGUUUGCGGUGCAUUGUGGUUUAUACAUGCAGGGGGAGAUCGAGACUGAGGUUUACACAGCGGGGCUAGUGGUGGUUGACAAACCCACUCGUGUAGGGUUUUGGCAGGUGAUUGCGGGGGAAAAUCAUUGGGAGCACGACAAGUCGAAGGGGAGGGUGUCGUUUGUUAGGGACCCACUGUACAGGUAUCUGCACCAUUUGCUCGCUACGUCUAUUUCAGCGCGCAACUACAGCCGUGAGUGGUGUACGACCACAGAUCUUUUUUUUCCUUUAUUGUUUGUUGUAUAUGAGGUCGUGCGCGCUAGCACACGGUCUAGCCCAGUACUACGCCUCCGCCCAUCACCGGCAGGAGCGCGGAUUUUUGUAUGGUGGGGCGUACGUGACCGUCAUUGCCCGUUCAUUGGGCCUCGUACUGCACCAGGACCCACAUCUACGGACGCCGGCAAUCAUGCCGACGCAGAUGGGUUUUCAGUCGCUGUGGGGGAUGAAGGUAAUCAAGAGGUUCCCCGUUGGCCCGCGGUUUGGGCAUAUGGACAGAGGAGCCCCUACCAGAGCAUUUCGAGGCCGUUUAUCCUCCUGCAGAUCCUGCUGACGCAGUGCCCGUGGAGGACCCUCCGGAGGAUGUAGACGGUGCAGCGGUGCCACAGCCACAGCCACCGCCACCUCCCGGGGCGCCUCAGUUUCCAGGUCAUGCCCCAGGAGUUGCGCUACAUCCGGAUGUACGAGCCGAGCUUGACAGGCUCAACGAUUUGGUAGAUUGGUUGGUACGGGCCGAGCAGGAUAGACGAGAGAGAGAGGGAUUACCCCGAUAUCGCUUCCACCGGCUCGAGUACCACAUCAGCAACAGCAGCAUCAGGAUUCGGAUUCGGAUUUGGAUUUGGAUGCAUAGACCUGUUGUUGUUUUUAUUUUUAUUAUGGAUGUACAAACUUAUCUUAUAUAUUUUUGUUAUGGAUGUACAAAGUUAUCUUA
Long non-coding RNA from Helianthus annuus (common sunflower), 3199 nucleotides. RefSeq lists it as uncharacterized. The transcript is spliced from 14 exons. The record is from RefSeq and is a predicted model, not a curated record. Lineage: Eukaryota; Viridiplantae; Streptophyta; Magnoliopsida; Asterales; Asteraceae.